This is a non-coding RNA of Capsicum annuum, 107 nucleotides long. NCBI's taxonomy places the organism in Eukaryota, Viridiplantae, Streptophyta, Magnoliopsida, Solanales, Solanaceae. The record is from Rfam.
UAAUGGUGGUGUUGGAAAUCGCAAAGCAUGGACUUGAACCUAUCCCAGGCUUGAUAUAGAUUUUCACUAUCCUUCUGUUUAAAGGUAAAGAUCUCACUCUUUAAUUG